UAUCAAAAAUCGGUCCAUCACCAUACAAUGCAUAUACUUUCUCUAUAUAUCCAAACAUAGGCACAUUGUUACGACAAACGCACAAACGGAAACGAAAUGACGAACACAAAAACAAUCAAACCACAAGUAGAAAAUAAAGAGACACAGAUUUACGUGGAAAACCCUUUGCAGGGAAAAAACCACGAGCGAGGGAGGAGAGAGCUUCACUAUGGAACGAAA
Molecule: long non-coding RNA, 219 nt
Filed under: Ananas comosus (pineapple)
Lineage: Eukaryota; Viridiplantae; Streptophyta; Magnoliopsida; Poales; Bromeliaceae
Description: long non-coding RNA (ACOM_LNC013803)
Source: RNAcentral